GUCUUCGAUGACUCAGUCGGAUAAAGUGCCUGCCAUGCAAGCAGGAGAUCCCGGGUUCGAGUCCCGGUCAGGGCA
Molecule: non-coding RNA, 75 nt
Organism: Schistocerca serialis cubense
Lineage: Eukaryota; Metazoa; Arthropoda; Insecta; Orthoptera; Acrididae
Source: the annotation of a RefSeq genome assembly